CUUUUAUGUUCGGACAAAAUAUCAUAAAAAAGUAAAAUAUGAAAGAUGCGGAGAAAACUUCAAAGUUUUACUGCAAAUGGUGGUUCAGUUUUGAUAAACCUGACCUGGUAUUCUUUUACGUUACAAUCCGUGUAUUAUUUUACCCAACCUCACAUGCAGUAAAAACUAAAAUGAAUAAGUCUUCGGUAACUUGUUCAUAUUCAAAGAUUUAUUUCUUAUUAAUUCACAACACAAAAAAAAAAUUAAAAAAAAUACAUAUUAUAUAUUCUUCAGGUCAUCGGGAGACAUAAUUUACAUAGGAUAUAAAAUGUUUCAGAUCAAGAAACAAAAAACUUGGUAGUGGCUUUUGCUCAUAGAUUAAACUGUGUCUCAUUCCUUCGAAGAGAACAUCACUUCCUAGACUGAUAUAUAUAUAUAUAUAUAUAUAUGUUUUCUUUUACAUUCGUAGGGUGAGAAGAAUACUGAACCAAUUUUACGGGUAGUUCAAUCACAAUAAUUAGGAGACGUAUGCCACUUUACUCCCUUUGUUUAUGAUUUUUCAGAAGGAAGUAAUCGCUGGUUGGCUUCUUAAGGACUUAGGAGCCUACCAAAGAAUUAAAGGCGUCUGAGAAGAGCUGGCAAUGAUGAAACUGUAAAAGUGAGUAGGACAAUGAAGCAUAACCUGUUUGCAAACUAAGUAGUGAAGCUCAUAUGGGGAAAUACCACCUUGCCUCGGCUUAGUGAAUACAUCAUUGCAUGACCUCAUGAGGUGUGGAAGGUUGCAGUCUCUACUAACUCUGAAAAUAGGAAAACAAAUUUCUAAAUGAUAAAGCAAUCUUCCAAGUGUAUGAAAACAUAAAUUGAUUAAAUCUUUUUAUUUUUGUGA
Long non-coding RNA from Brassica napus (rape), 865 nucleotides. RefSeq lists it as uncharacterized. The record is from RefSeq and is a predicted model, not a curated record. Lineage: Eukaryota; Viridiplantae; Streptophyta; Magnoliopsida; Brassicales; Brassicaceae. The transcript is spliced from 2 exons.